RNAcentral lists this transfer RNA (74 nucleotides) under Nocardiopsaceae bacterium. RNAcentral's name for it is "tRNA-Gln". It matches the Rfam family "tRNA". From Rfam's summary of the family: Transfer RNA (tRNA) molecules are approximately 80 nucleotides in length. Their secondary structure includes four short double-helical elements and three loops (D, anti-codon, and T loops). Further hydrogen bonds mediate the characteristic L-shaped molecular structure. tRNAs have two regions of fundamental functional importance: the anti-codon, which is responsible for specific mRNA codon recognition, and the 3' end, to which the tRNAs corresponding amino acid is attached (by aminoacyl-tRNA synthetases). tRNAs cope with the degeneracy of the genetic code in two manners: having more than one tRNA (with a specific anti-codon) for a particular amino acid; and 'wobble' base-pairing, i.e. permitting non-standard base-pairing at the 3rd anti-codon position. Lineage: Bacteria; Bacillati; Actinomycetota; Actinomycetes; Streptosporangiales; Nocardiopsidaceae. The record is from RNAcentral.
UGCCGGGUCGUCUAAUGGCAGGACACUGGACUCUGGAUCCAGGAACGUAGGUUCGACCCCUGCCCCGGCAGCCA